AGUAACCGUGUCAGGUGACAUGGAACUCUGCUCAGAAUCUCCCUGAUGACAAAACUAAGUGCACAGGGGCCAUCUAGACUCGCU
Meleagris gallopavo (turkey) is the source of this 84-nucleotide small nucleolar RNA. NCBI's taxonomy places the organism in Eukaryota, Metazoa, Chordata, Aves, Galliformes, Phasianidae. The record is from Ensembl.